CCUACGGGAGACAGCAGUAGGGAAUAUUGCUCAAUGGGGGAAACCCUGAAGCAGCAACGCCGCGUGGAGGAUGAAGGUUUUCGGAUUGUAAACUCCUUUUGUUAGAGAAGAUAAUGACGGUAUCUAACGAAUAAGCACCGGCUAACUCAGUGCCAGCAGCCGCGGUAAUACGGAGGGUGCAAGCGUUACUCGGAAUCACUGGGCGUAAAGAGCGCGUAGGCGGGAUAACAAGUCAGAUGUUAGAUCCUAUGGCUUAACCAUAGAACUGCAUUUGAAACUGUUAUUCUAGAGUAUGGGAGAGGUAGGUGGAAUGCUUGGUGUAGGGGUAAAAUGCGUAGAGAUCAAGAGGAAUACUGAUUGCGAAGGCGACCUACUAGAACAUAACUGACGCUGAUGCGCGAAAGCGUGGGGAGCAAACAGGAUUAGAUACCCUUGUAGUC
This 440-nucleotide ribosomal RNA is filed under the name uncultured bacterium. Its description in RNAcentral is "partial 16S ribosomal RNA". It matches the Rfam family "Bacterial small subunit ribosomal RNA", at positions 338 to 795 of the family's 1533-position model. The record is from RNAcentral.